This is a long non-coding RNA of Panonychus citri (citrus red mite), 2772 nucleotides long. RefSeq lists it as uncharacterized. The transcript has 2 exons. Lineage: Eukaryota; Metazoa; Arthropoda; Arachnida; Trombidiformes; Tetranychidae. The record is from RefSeq and is a predicted model, not a curated record.
UCUCUCUCACCUCUUCCUUUUUUUCUUUCUUUCUCAAUUUUUUCUCGUCUCUUUUUCUUUUUCUUUCUCGUCUCUUUCUCUCUCAUCUCUUUCUCUCUCAUCUCUUUCUCUCUCAUCUCUUUCUCUCUCAUCUCUUUCUCUCUCAUCUCUUUCUCUCUCAUCUCUUUCUCUCUCAUCUCUUUCUCUCUCAUCUCUUUCUUUCUCUCUGUCUGUCUUUCUCUUUCUUUUUGAAAUGCGCGCAGUAAAGAAGCUUAACCGCGCAUGCGUACAUAAAAAUCUUUGAGUCAGAAUUUUUUUUUCUCAUGAAAUUGUGCCGGAAUUACCUAGUUAAAUGGAUUAUUUCAUUUUUUUAAUCAGUAAAUUUCAUUAAAACUAGUGCUAGUGAAGGUAAGAAUAUAUAUAUCAAAGGUCCUUGAUUUAUCGUAAAUAUUAAUUAUUAUCUGUUUUUCUAAAUUUAUUGUAUUUAAUUGUUGUAAAUUCUUGAAUUAUUUAUUGUACCUAAAUAAACGGUUAGAUAUGCAACCGUAAGAGGGCAGAACUCGAGUCUGUUCAGUUGUAUAACGACCGUAAGGGUCCCCCUAGGGGCAAUAAAAAGAAUUUAUCAUGAACGGCUAUUCAGAUUUUGUUCGUACUAGUUUUCGUAACUGUAGUAUUUUCCGCCUAUUUUUUGGUACCUCAACAUCUCAUAGAAUCCUUUUAUCUUGAGCACAACCUUCACCCAAAAUUUGAGCUUAUCUUAUACAAGUUUGUAGAUCAAAAGUUGAUAAUGAUUGUUAAUUACAGAAAAAGACAAAAAAGGAUUGCAAACUUCACUGAAAAGUGAAUCAAUUGACAAAAAAUUCAUGCAGAUACUUUACUUACGAAAUUUUGAAUACUCAGUGUUUCGGUUCAUGUUUUUAUUGAUGGGCAAUUGGGAUUAUCUUUUUCGAACCCUUUUUGCACAAGAAUUGUACCCGAUCUUGAUGAUACCAAUGCUUAGCAAAAUUAUAAUUUUAAUUGUAAUUGUCUUAUUAUCUUCUAGUCAUCUAAAUCACAAUCACCGCCAACAAUAAAAAUUACCGAUUACUUAACAAAUAAUCGAAUAAAUCAAACAAUGAAUAAAUGAAAGAGUUUUCUCUGGUAAAGAUGAUAGUUAUUACGAUAAAGAUUCAUAUUGAAAUGAAAGACAAUAAGGAUCAAAGGCAAAGUGAUGACAUUCUCUUUAUUCUCGCCUGUAUCUUUUCUAUCUUUUGGUGAGUUUAUUUCUCGUCAAUAUUGUUUGAACAGUCGGUUUUCGAUUGAUACAUUUUAUCACGAUAGUAAGCUAAUCGCCUGAGUAAUUAAACCCUCUUCAAGUUUCAACUUGCUUAAUACAAACUACAAAUCCUUAGUUUGUACAACAACGAAAAUGAGAUGAGAACACGAAUUAUGCUGGGUACGAAUAGAAAUAAUUUUUCUUCUAAUUGUGUGAGAAUUUGUCCAUUGAACUUCAUCUGAAUCAAUUAAUUCUUCACUUAAAAUGAUUUCAGAAUUAUUAUUUUAUGUGCAAUUGAAAUGAAUUUCACUUUCAAUACUAAUUAUACUUUUUGUCACAAAAGUCUAACAGUUUCAUUAGAAUUGACCUUAUUUUGUUUUUGAGGAUUAGAAAGAACCAUCCAAAGUACGAAAUAAAGUUAAGGGCAAUAGGGUGACCGCUCCAAGUUCGGUAUAUUCUCCUUAAGGUAAGACUCAAGAUAUGUCCGUCAGCUCGAUAUCUUCACUUUUCAGCUGAUUUUUUUUUUCGGCUUAAAGUUCAAGCUACAUAUGAAAAUGGACUUAAUUGUUGAGUUAAUUUUGUUUGUUUAAAUUAGGUUAGGUCUUCGCUAAUAAGGGUCACCACGACCAAAGAAAGGCCCGGAGGGCCUGAGACAAUCAAACCGAACUUUAAGCCGAGAAAAAAAAUCAGCUGAAAAGUGAAGAUAUCGAGCUGACGGACAUAUCUUGAGUCUUACCCUCCUUAAAUUGUUAGAGUAACGUCAAUCUCGUAGGUCCAUAAGAAGGUAAAAUCACAUGAAACAAUAAGCACAGAUUUAUAAUCAAGACGAUAGUUUUAUAAUAUGGGUGUUUUUAUUUGGAUAAAAACAACCAACGAAAUAUCGUUGAUUAACUUCAAACUUUCGACAAUAAAUAGCAGCAGCUUCGGGUUCCGGUGAGAUUAAAAGUUGACUUGGAUUAUCAGGUGAAGCUAAACCCGCUUGAUAAGCGGCCAUCUUAAAUGGACUUAACAUUUUGUAGUACAAAUUUGAGUCGAUCUUUUACUCAUCUUUUCUUUAGAUAAGUGUCCUUCUUGAUUAUCUAACGGGAGUUACUUUCUCUCUCCUCUCUUUUCAGAAUUCAUUCAAAUUAGCCACUCUAUGUUUAAUUCAUUUCGUCUUAAUUUCUUAUGAACGGGCAGACAGAUCAUUUUUGAACGAUUCUUUCGCACUAAGAGAAUUUAGGUAGAAUUUUUGGUUGCCGAAAUUUCGCAUAGAUAUGUUCAUCAAUUCGAAACAAUCAAUAAAUUGCAAUUAAAAAAGAGACUUUUUAUUCUGUGGUCUUUAUGUUUUCAUAUUAGACCGGUACAUCGUAGAUGUGUCCAUUAUUGAGCCUUCGAAUCCAUAUUGAAGUCGAGAUUAUCUGCCAUAGUCAACAUACCAUCCGAAUGCUUACAUACAGCGGUGAUUCGAUAAUUUGGAGAUGGUUUUACAUCCUUGACCAAGACAUUAAAAACGAUCUUGUUCUCGGACUCAAUUCGAGAACUGUGGAUAACAGCAU